UCGGAUAGCUCACUUGUAAAGACAAGGACUGAAUCUCGUGUCAACAGUCCAAU
This 53-nucleotide transfer RNA is filed under the name Citrus cavaleriei (Ichang papeda). Its description in RNAcentral is "partial tRNA-Phe". The record is from RNAcentral. Lineage: Eukaryota; Viridiplantae; Streptophyta; Magnoliopsida; Sapindales; Rutaceae.